Molecule: small RNA, 2182 nt
Filed under: Pongo abelii (Sumatran orangutan)
Lineage: Eukaryota; Metazoa; Chordata; Mammalia; Primates; Hominidae
Description: processed transcript
Source: RNAcentral
AUUUAAACACCUUGGAUUUUCUACUGGGUCUUGGCUUCUGUUCCCACAGGCCCUGAGCCUGAGGAGCAGGACUCGGUGGGGGUCACAAGAGGCUGCUGCUCAGAGUCUGCGCUCUGCAUGUGGGAAAGGGGUCCCACCUGUCUGGGGUGGGCAGCCUCGUGGUCCAGGGCAGUGCAGGGCAGAGCCUGGCCUGUGCGAUCACAGCCGCCGCCUUUCUCCCGGGAGCCUCUACUUCCUCCAAAAUGGGCCUUGUGCCAGCCCCACCCACGGCGAGCGGACAAGUCCACGAGGGCAGGGCCCUGAGUACCUGGUGGGGGGGACACUCCUAGGGGGCACAGAGGGGGCUCCCACCUGGGCACCUGCCUCCUCCCCUUCUCUUCUUCCUCCACGUGCCAGGUGCGGCCCUGGGUUUGAGGAGCUGAGCCUCAGACACGUGCCCUGCCCUCAGGAAGCCGGAGGCACCCAAGUGGCCUUGGAAAUCCUGGCGGCGAGAACAGUAGCUGCCCAGGGACUAAGGGGGCUUCUGGGAGGACACACACUGGCCCAGGGUGAGGGGUGUCACUGCAGGGUGCCCCCCAGGCCCAGGGCCCGUCAGGGGACAGUAUGGUGACCUGGCCUACAGGUGGCAGUCGGUUCUGUGUGUCUGGGGCCCGCAGCACAGGUUGGGUGGGGGCUGAGGCAGAGGCAGCAGAAGUGGGCAAGGCCUGGGGGGCUCAGGCACUGGGCAUGGAGAGCAGACAGGAAGGCCUAGUGGGCACCACCCCCAGACCGUGGCUCCCACCCGUGCUGCCCCCACCCAUGGCCACGGCCACCGGGAACAGUGGGACCUGGGGUCUCCGAGGGACUCAGCAGGGUGGGCACAGACCAGUGGGGUCUGGGCUAGAGAGAGCCGGCUCCCAGCCUCUUGCUUUCUGGGCUGAGGACAUGGGGAUCCAAGGCCAGUGGGUCUGCAGGGCCCAGCCAGGUUGCCUGAUAAGAUAGGCCCACCAGGCGGCCCCCGUGUCUCACUCUGUCAGCAGGUGGGGGCGUGGUGCUCCCCAGGGACCUGCUGCCAAGGGGCAGUUUCUGGAGGCUGGGGGCACUGGCCGGGCUCUAGGCCUGCUCUGCCCUUGCCAUGGGGAAGGCUGUCCUGUUAGGGAUCGAGUUGCUCAAAUCUGCGUUUGGAGGGUGCGUGGCCGAGGGCUCCCCUUCUGGAGACCCAGACACCGUGUGGGCUCUGGGCGGCAGAGGCUGAGGUGUCGGGGGCUGAGCUCCUAUGUCAGCAACACUUCAGGCCUGCGCUUUAGGACAGGGGAGAAGUCAGUUUCCCCCAAAUGCCCCCUCGGACCAGCCAAGGACUGUGCCAGGAAACUGACAUGCUCGGCGCUCACGCCAGCUGGGACAGCGACUGAGCCCAGAGAGAUGGAGCAAGUUGCCUGAGGUCACAGAGCAGGGACUUGGACACCAGGGAGCCAGCUCCACAGAGGCCCUCUCUCCUCCCGGCCUCCUGACCCUCAGCCGCCUCCGCCCCGCGGGCCCCGACAGAGGAGCGGGCCGCGAGGCAGGCAGGAGCCGCGUGUCUGGGCCCAGCGCACCUGCCAAGCUCUCUAGCCUCUCCUGGCCUCAGUGUCCUCGUCUGGGAGAUGGUCCAGCUGAAAAUCCCCAGCAUCCACAAGAAAGGGUGGAAGCUCUGGGGGCCCUGGCCUGGCCCGGGUGCAGGCUGCUUGGCCGGGCGGGGCGGCGUCUCCUUUCACAGCUUCCCCGUCUGUCCACGGCCUCCAGGAGCCCCACACAGGGCCGGGGCUCUGUGCCCUCAACUCACACCCGUCAGCUCCCCGAGGAGGAGCAGGCUGGGCCCAGGGCCGCAGGGUGGGCUGCAGGGAGGUCUGACUUAGCUGGGGAAAGUGCCAUCCCUGCCAUUGCUAGUGACAAGCUGGGGCUGCCGUGGCCCCAGCACAGAUUCAGCACUCACUGCACCAUGUGCCGGCUGCUGCACACUCACCUCCACACCCAACUCACAGGAAGCGAGGCUGGGAAGGAGGGAACUGGCCCCAGGCCACACAGAUGCUGAGAGUUGGGAUUAUGAUCGGGUGCAGUGGCUCACGCCUGUAAUUCCAGCACUUGGGGAGGCCAAGGCGAGUGGAUUGCUUGAGCCCAGGAGUCUGAGACCAGCCUGGGCAACAUGGUAAAACCCCAUCUCUAC